GCUAUUGGCACCGUUGUAGUACUUUCUUGAAGGCUUGUUUCACCAAAGUUUUGUUGCUGCUCCUCAUAAGCAUUGUUGUUGUAGUGGUUAUUGGUGGUGGUGGUGGUGGUGGAGUCAGUUGGAUAAUUGGUGUAGGUUUCUUGGGUUUGGGUCUGGGUUUUGUAUGGCUGGUAAGUGGUUGUGGUGUAGGGUGCAUUUGUUAGUUUAGUAGUGGUGGGGAACUGGGAGGAUUCUUGACCAUAUAGACCAUAGCCAUUUUGGGUGUCUGGGAUAAAGGCUGGAUCUAGUUCUUGCUUGUUAAAGCUUUCUUCUUCUUUGUUGGGGAGUGUUUUAUCUUGAACAUUAUUGUUGUUGAUGGUGGUAGUGGAGGGAGUAGCGGUGGUGGCACCGACUUUGCUAAAGAACUGGCUCUCUCUAGCAUGAAUUUGCUUAGAAAAAAUGGUUAAGAGAAAGAGAAAGGAAAUGAGUCUUGGAGAGGGAGCCAUGGCUAAAGACGGGAUAGUGUUGCUGUGUAUCACUAGCCUAUAGUGGAGCUGGGAGGGUUUGUGAAGGUGCGAUCUUUAUAUAGAAAGCCUUUCAAUCACUCUCUCCGAUUUUUUUUCCACAGCAUUUUCAACUCUUUAGGUGCAAAUGGAGGGAAUUGGUGAUGACUGUGGUCCCUGCAUGGGAAGAAACUUUAACAAAAGAACUCCUUUUCUUUUUCUUUCUUUUUAUUUGAUUUAUGUAUAUCUCUUGUUAAUCGUGCUUAUUUUUCUUUUAGUGAUGUAUUUCUUUAGUGUUUGAUUUUUCUUCUUUCAUAAUUAAUGAAUGCCAUCAUGGAAGAGCACCAAAACUAUGAGUUUUAAUUUCAUUUCCCUAAACAUCAGCCGAAACAAUAACCAAUACUUAUUCAUGCUAACUCUCCAUAAAUCAUUCUUAUCUUCUAAGCAAACCAAGCUAGAUUGAGGAUUAUGACACAAGAUUAUACUGAGGUAAUUAAUGAUGGGCUCUAAGUUAUAAGGAAUCCAGGGUUUAUCUCAAGGAAAUUUCUUCUUUGACGGGGAGAAGGGGUCACUGGCAGCAGAUUAUUCAAGCAGUAAAAAUGUGAAAUCAAUAAAGUGGCCUUCUUUAUUAAAGAUCAUGUCCUUUCUUUAAUAUGUGAGGGGCGAUUUGGCUAUUUCAAAGAUGAAAGAAGGAUAUGAUAAUAUGCUAAGCUAUGGCCGGGCAAUUAUGCCGUAGAUUGUGGUGGGUGGGGCAAAGCAAAUAAUGCCAUUUAGUGCAGACAGCAUGUGCCCUCUUCCCUUUGUUUAAUUUGAUCAUAUACGCACCAAACCCUUUUACUACGCGGAUUGACACCACCAUUCAUGCUCUUCUUUUUUUUGGCAUGCGCUCUUCCAAGAGCAGCUUUAUUAAAGAAGUUUGCUGUCCAUAUAUAUAUGGGAUAGGAAAAGGGUUUUAUGUAUAUAUGCUUAAAAUUAAUGUGUAAGAUUUUCUUUAAUCGAACACAAAAUCACGAAGGACAGUUAGAAUUUAUCGCUUGUUAGGUGGAUACUUCUGAAAUACUCAUCCGUUGGAUUGAUAGAUUUUAUUAUCCAGAUUGAAGAUCACAUGCAAGAUAAGGGUGUUAUUUAUGACUAAACAACUUCUUAAUUAGUAAUCAACUAACAAUUCAAUUAGAGAGAGCCCCCCUACUGUGGGGGUUGAGGCAGGGUCAGGAUGGUAGAAUUUGGGACUUGUAUUUGCUGCUACACGCAAUCAUUUAUACAUAAAAUUGUUACCAACCAGGGCAACUUUUCUGACUAAAUUUACUAAUGGAAAGGCUUGUUUUAUAUCUAUGUCUACCGGCUAAUCCUACUUGGUAGUUGUUUCUGUAAUUGCGACACGGAUAUUUGGUGAGAUAGGGUCCAAGUUUGUUUAUUACACAUAACGAACAUAACCAAACAGGAUUGCUAUUAUUAAUGAAUGUUUAUGUCUCUCUGGUGUAGCUCUCAUGAGUGCUCUGUUUUUCUUCUAACAAAAAACAAUGUUUCAUGUCCUGGAGAUGAUGUAUACCAUUUUUUGUAACAAGUUAAGAAAUUGCAAACCAUUUUUUGUAACUAUUAGACUCUCCUAUAUUUUAUGUCUUCGUGUCACUAAUUCAUGGAAUCCAGAAUUUAACUGUAACCAUAACUCAAGGAAAAGGGAAAACGAUAGGAAAGCCACCUUGUCCCUUCAAAGCUUGGAAUAUGAAUAGCAACUGUUUAAAGGGACAAAAAGGUAAAGGCAAAGAAAUUUCCAUUGUUCGUGCAUUUGUCAAGUAGCUGCUAAAUGUUUUCCCUUCCUGGAGGGGUGGAGGAGAAAGGAACAUACAAGUUUCAUUCACCACAAGUACUGGUAUCCAUCGAGAUCAUAACAAUAUGUAGAUGAACUGCCCCCCAAUUCUCACUUGUCAACGUUGGUGGUUUGACCACUCAAUUAAAGGAAAAAAGAGUUCUGGUUUUUGCCUUUUCUUCUUUUUCUUUUUUUAAGUGUUUUUUCUUCCUUGAUUAGCGGAGGGAGGGAGCUUGUCAAAGUGGGUACUGGCAUUGGCAAUUCGGGAGGAAAAAAGAGAAGUAUUCCACAGUAUAUUAUUUUCCUUUGAUUUUUAACUAUUGCCAAUCCAUUCCACUCUGAAGCACAUUUGAAUCUCAAAUUUUGCGCUAAAUUGAGAGUUGACUGGUAUUAUAAUUAUAAACAAAUCUAUAAUACUAUAAUAGAUCCAACAAUAAACUCAUCCCAUUAGGCUUAGGGUACCGUUUACUGUGUGACCUAGCUUCAAGCAAUGCAAGAAAAAAACACAUCGUAGCCUCUUUGGGCCUUCAUAAUUGUCCAAUUUGUUUGAUUUUUGUGGGUACAGUUUAGUGGUCUCAGUAUUUCUUGCUCACAUUUGAUGCUUCUCCAUCAUCUUUUAGUGGAUGGAAUCGAUGGAUACCACAACUUCUUGUCCUUCCAUUUGCCAGGGCAUUCCAACUUAUACGAUACGUAUGCAGGUCACAAAUAGGAGAAACAAUCGGAAUUCAAGUACCAAAAGUCAAAAUGAUAACAAAUUCAAAAUUAAUGCCGAAAUUAGUGAAAGAUGGCUUGCACAUGCGUGCUACAAUCCCGCAAGACAUUUCUCAAGAAUCAAGAUCAGGAAAUGGGUUCCACAGCAUAAGUGAAAACAGUAAAAGAUUGGGAACUAAAAUAGGAAUGAAAGGGUUAACGUUACUAACAAGUUUUUUCCUUCUAAGCCUCUUUCUAACAUACUCUCUUCUUUGUUCAUCGCCCCACUGUGCUUCCUCUAAUCCCUUUGCAAGAAUUAAUGGUGGAGGCUGUUGGUAUGGGCACUUGGACCUCCACGAAGUUUCAGGACAUCCUAAUCUGGAGGCUCUUUUGAGAAAGAGAGAGAAUCCCCACCUUAGAAGGAGAGAAGGGAAAGUCUUGGUGUCUUUGGAGCAGAGGAUGGGUGGAUAGUCCCAUUUGAGAUAGCAUGGGAUUUGUGUAGAUAUGAAGAACUGAGAGUAGAGAGGUGGUGUGGUUGUGGGGCUGGUUAGAAGAUGGGUUAGGGCUUGAAGUCUCUGCUCCCAUGUCGUGUCUUCCAUUGCUUCAUUGACCACACUCUUGAGGAUGAGGCUGAGAUUUGGAUAAGAAGUGCCAAGGGAACAAAUGCUUGACACUAUUUACCAUGGAGGUAGGCCCGCCAAACGCUAUGCAUAAUGGCCUUUUGGUAAGAAUUUCGCAGUUCGGCGUGGUGUGUUUCAUGUUAUUGCCAAUAACUUAUUGGAGCACAAACGCUGCCUUUUGCACAACGAUUAAGCAGAUGCCUAAUAUAAAGAGUGCCAUUACUCCUGAAAUAACUUGGAUUGAAAAUAAAGCAACUAAAGGAAGAACAUCACGUCUGCCAUAUCAAGAACAUGUGGAUUUAAGAAAGGAGGUAAUCAAAAGGCAUAUUUUAAUCAACACAGUAUGCAAUGAAGCAAAUUAGCCUUUGUUAUGAUUCCUAUACAUUAAGCUAUCUACCAACGAAAAUGCAGCUUAGUGCGAGGAGCGACAAUGGACAUCGUAACACACGGUUUGGCCAUGAAGUGCCAAAUCAUUCCCAUCCUUGAAUUCCUUUAUCCAAUGGACCAGUUUACAUUCCAUAUUUAUAUAAAAUCAGUGAGAAUUCUGCUGUCCAGUGUACAAUGACAAAAUUUUGGGAGUUUAAUCACAAGAACCCAGAAAAACGGGGGAAAGGAUCAUAAAGGAAGCAUGUUUAGGCUAUCAUGCAACGAGUAUGAAGCAACAACUCCAUCUCCCAUGUUGCCACUAUAUACAGAUGACAUGGUACAGCAAUAUUGAUUCGGGCAUGAGAAUCAGUAGUGAAUCUGGAAACAAAACUCCAGCAUGAUCCAAGAAGAAGAUGAAACAACAGCACUGGCACAGAGCAAACUGUUUCUCUCUUGCUUACUACAACUAGUAAGAAAAGAACAGGAAAAAUGAUGCUCAGUGAGUGUCCUUGGCUUCCUGUUAAUAGAAUAGGCUGUGAAACUUCUCUCUUGAGGAAACUUCUCUCGACUAGCACAGCUGUGAUGAGAGCAAUAUCCAAGCACUCAAUACAGGGAAGAUGAUUAAAGCAGAAGCCUGUGAUUUCAUAAAUUUCAUAGAAAUGUUUGAUUCCAUUAGAAAGAGCUAAAUAAUUGAUGCAGAGUCGUAUACUGCUGUUUUUAUUAAAUAUAAAAGAGACUUUGGGAACUGGAUAGGCACUCAUACCACGAAAAAUACUAUUUCCUGGUUAGCAAGACAGGCUGUGAACUCAUGUCUUUCCAUUUCCUGUUUGACGAAAACUUGCAACUACAAAUAGUGAAAUGACAAGGGUUAAUUUUUCAUCACAAUCACAAUGGUAUUUUGGCCAAUGUGCAGAUGAUGCAACAGUUACCAUAUUCUACUUAAGCUCAAAGAAAGAAACCCCAAAUAAACAGAUAGAUCAUAUCAACAGAUGUUGAGUAGUAAAGUUCUUAACAUUCAUGAUUCAGUAGACUGAGAGCUUGUAUAAAAACAGAGAACUGCAAUCUAUCACAAGUCACGACCUUAUUCUCAAUCAUUUUGUGGUUGAGAGAACCAGUAUCUAAUGGCUGAAUUGUUUUGUGUCAAAUUCAAUUUGAUCAGCUCUCUAACUUGUCAUUAACAACAAAUUUUGACCAACGAAAAACUUUAAACUGUACAGCAUCUAGCAAAAGAAUGACCAACGAGAGAUUCAUUACAGAGAAAACAAGGGGGGGAAAAUGUUGUACAGAAUCAAGAAAGCACGUAGGUUAGUACAAACCUCAUGGUGGGACUCUUUUACUGUUGAAUAGAAUCUUUUUAGCCAGGAGAAGGUUUGAGAUACGUAAGCUCUCAAGGCAGACUCUUCACUGAAAUGUGAACUCAACAGCCCAUGAGCAUUUGGAAGAUAUUCACCAGAAAGGUAACUGAAAAACUGUAAAUCACCACAAAGGAAUAAAUUUGGUCAAAGCCUACAUCUGUGAUAAUAUAUCGGGCAAAAGAGACAUAUUAGUCUUUAAGUAAGCAUUACCAUCGUUCAUAAUGUGGGAAUUAUUAAAACUUCAUUUUUUUUAUAAACACCUAUCAACAUAUAUAAAGAUCAAGACAGAGCAGAAAUAUCUUGACGUUACCUUUAAAAAAGUCCAUCUUGGAGGCCUUGCUUGUCUUUGAGCCUUCAAUCUUAUCUGUUAAAAGAGAAUGGGAACAUUAUAAUAGACUCAUUCAGCCAUCAAGGCGUAGCAAAAAACAAUGUUUAAUUUUAGAAAUCCUUAUGAGCAGUUGGUCCAAAUUGUAUUGUGAGAAAAUACUUCUUUAAGUUGAAGAGCCUGCUCAAACUGUUGAAUUUGGAUCCACCGUUCUGAUACUAUGUCUUCCAUCUGUAGGGAACAAAAACAAAUAAACCAACAACUAAUUUUUAUACUUAACAAAAGUUGGAUGCUUGUAUAUGAUGAGAUUACAACUAUGCUAUAUUGGAAAAGGAGAGGGGGAGUUUAAUACUUUACUAAACAUAAUCAUAAUAAUAAGAGAAAUAUGUUUUCCAAAAGAAAAGACUAAUUAUUAAAUUCAACCCCCCCCCCCCCAAAAAAAAAAAAAAUUGAUUCCACUCUAUUUUCCAGCACAGACAAUUUCCCCUAACCUCUCAAACUGCAGAUUUCAAAGUACCAAGCAAAUGACAAGUGACUAAAAAACAAAGCCAUAUUCUGCAUAUAUGCUUCUGAAGGCUCACUCUACAAACUACUUUAGUUCCUUGAUAUCCCUUUUCACUUCCACGGAAUAUUGCCUCAUUAGAUUUCCAACAACACAAUCUUCACCAUGAAUAACACAAUAAACUUGCAAAUAAGAAGAUUGAACAAAACACAAGAUAACACAGCUCUUUUUUUCCCCGGCUGUUUAUUCAAGGAAACAUAAAAAAUGUUUUAUGCAGACAAUAUCUAAAAUUAGUUCUCAAAUCUCCAAAUGCCCGACAAUAACAUCCACAACCACUCGAAUAAAUAAAUAAAAGCAUACUAGUUAAGAGAUUGACCUUCUGAACUUGCGAAGUUACCAUUUGCAAUCUAUCCUCAGCUUCCCGGGCUUUCGAUUCUAAAACAUGAAUAUCAAAAUUGUUCUUUCUCAAAGUAGCCCACAAAACCCUAACCUGUCAUUCAAGACAUUAUCAACAACCUACUACUAUUCACAUAACCAGUUAAUAAUUAUAUUAAUCACCUCUUCUUCUAGGUCUUUAAUCUUGUCAUCAGCAACCUACAAAUAAAAAAGAAACAUUCAUUAGAGGUUCAAUCCCAAAUGAACUAACCACGUGAUAAUGUAAUUCAAGAAACCAACCAGCCAACCUUUAAAUGUGAGAAAACAGAUUGCAGAUGGUUUAAUUUGUGGUCUAGUUCUCCAAUUAGAUUCUCACAUCUCUCCAAAUAACGGUCUCUGUCGUUUAUAUUUUGAGUGAUUUCCUCAAGACGAGAUUCUGCAUUUACAUUGAUUAAUUAGGCAAUCAACCAAUCAAAAUUCUGAAACGAAACCUCUUGGUUUGGUUACCUGAUUGAGUGAUUCUCAGCUUGGCCUCGUAGAGCUGGUUUUGGUGAUCUUGAGAUGAGAGACCCAGCACAGCUGACAAAAUGGCUGGAAAUACAAAGGGUAGUAGAUAAUAAUAAUAAUAAACAGCUUCCAUUUUUGCGUCUCCAGCCCCCCCUCCUCUUCUGCUUUUACCGUGUCAUCUACACUACGCUACAUGUCCCGUCUAUUUUGGAACUAGAAAGGAAGAGAGACGAGAUUCGCAUUAUUUUGUUUUUGCUUUUUAGUCAAUUUUUAAGAUUGUUUUUUAAUUAAAAAUAUAUUAAAAUAAUAUUAUUUUUUUAAUUAAUAUGCUUAUAUUAAAAUCAUCGAAAAACUUAAAUUUCAAAUAAAAAAAUUAAAAAACAUUUUAAAAAGCACCACAAAAACAAAUAUUUUUUUAAUCAUUAAAUAAAUGGCCUACAUUAUGUAGAUGAUUUUGCCACAAAUUUUUUUGACAUAAAAAAGAUUAGAAAUUUUUGUGACUUAGAUUAUAGAUCCCAAUGGGAUCUAAUAAGAUGACUUUAUGUAAUUAUAUGAUAUGAAAAAUCACAACAAUAAAUAUACUGAAAUAAAAAAUAAAAAACAAUCAUGAUGACCAUAUAAAAAGAGUAUUUUUCAAAAGAAAACAAAUCACAAACCUCAAUUCUUAUACAAUCCAAUAUUGAAUGAUGAAAUUAAAAAUAAAAUAAAAAAAUAAAAAAAAUGAUUUAGAUCAAUCAAAGUUAGCAUACAAAACUUGCAACUUGAGUUCUAAGACCAUAAUAAUACCAUGGAAAGAAAAUCAAAAGAAUUACAAUGCUAAAUUUCCAACAAUUCAAAUAUAGAAAGAUAAUAUAAAAAAAACUCAAUUAACAAAAAGGAUAAGAAAAAUCAGAAACCCUACAAGCCGGAUCAUGCGAACAAAAUAACCUAAUAGAAUGCGAAACAAGAAAAAUCAUGAAGCUCAAUUCGUAAACUAACCCAAUAUUAAAGGAUAAACCAAAAAAAUAUUCAAUUUGAAAAAGACUUCAGUCAUCCAAGCUAACUCACCAAACUUAUGAUCUAGGUUAUAAGACCAAGAUAACCCCUUAAAAAGAAAAGUGAAGAAAAUCACGAAGCUUAAUUUCCAACAAACCCAAAAUUAAAUGAUGAAAUUAAAAAAAUAAGUGAAAAAAAAAUCUAAAAAAACCCGAUAUCAACCCUAGAGACACAUAGGUUUCAAAAAAAGAUCUAUUUUUCUGUAUGUCAUUUUAUCUUAUUUCUUUGAGAAACUGGAGUUGUUUACGUACACUUAAGGGUGUAUGCAUUGGAGCUAGUUGUUGUGUCACUCAUCGAGGGAGUUGCUCAAAGAUGUUAUUAUGUAGCUAGAAUAGCUUUAGUAAAUACUUUAAUUUGAUGGGUGAUUUUUUAAAGAUUAAAUAAAAUUUUAUAUACUUGUGGUAAAGAGGUUGAUUAAUCUUCAAUAUCUUUGUAUUUCUAAGUCAUCAACCAUGGAGAAGAAAUUUAGAUGAUAUAUGAAAUGAGAAUGAACUAGUUUUUAUUCAGUUCAUCAUAGACGAUUUCACUAAUAAAGUUGUAAAAACUUUAAAUUAGAUUUGAACUUCCCACAACUUCUUGAUGGGAUGAUGUGCUUGGGCUUGGCUAUUUCAUGCUUUCUUGUAAAAACAAAUCCCCAGUUAGGAUACAUGGGCCUUCAAUUCUUAAUUAACAACUUAUAUAAGUGAAAUAAGUUAUAAUAGAAAGAACAAGAAUGAAAAAUACAAUAAGGUGUAUGUUAUGUUGUUAUGUGACUUGUUCUAUUAUUUUGUUGUUAUCUUGUGACAUAAGGUAUUUAUAUAUCUUGAUCACAUAAAAUUACUCCGUGAAGCAUGAAAUUAUAGUCAUAAUGUAUAGGUUAAUCAUGGAGAAUAAUUAUUUUUACUACACAAGUAACCUAUAAAAUGAGUUAUUAUGUGUAGGUAGCAUACUAGAUAAGUUAGUAAAUGUACUUACCAUUGGAUGUACUUACCAUUGGGGUAGCCCUUUGGAAUAACAAUUUUAUCUAAACCCGAUGGAUAUUCACUCUAGCCGAUCCAAAUAAAUAGGAGAUUUUUUUACCCGAUCGGAUUCAAAUAAAAUUUAAAGGUAAAAAUUCAGGUUAUGGAUUGGGUAAGAAUAUUUCUCUAUCUUAACCAAAAUUAGACUUGAAUCUGAUCCAAAAUGCAUUAAUAGUUUGAAAAAAUUAUUUUUAUAUCAAGCUAUAUAUAUAGAAACUUGGACGUUAAUUUCCUCAAUAAAAAAAAAUGCCUCUCCCUAUUUGAAAACCUUAGUAACCCAUAAAAAUCCAUUAUUUCUAUUAAAGAAGCCCACAAAAAUUCAAUAUUUUUAUCAAGAACUCCAUUAAAACCUAACCUUAAAAAAAAUGAAAACAUGAAUAACCCAAAUGAUGACUAGCACAGGAAAAACCAUCCAUACCAAGACCUCGACAAUGUUCCAACUCAAAACCUUUACAAGCUUCCAACAUCCCUUUACAUCCCCAUAAUUUCUCCUUUAUGAAAAGUCUUUACACCAACGUAAUUCUAGAAGUGAGAAUCUUCAAUACUACAUAGGCACAAGUUACUUAGCUAGAGUUGUGUUAGGUAGUGCUAAAGAUUUUAUUGAAAGAAUUUGUGUUACGGAGCCUAGAGAGGCAUUAAAAUUAAGGGUUAAUUGUGUUUUGAAUUUUGUUAGUUAUACGGGUAAUUUGUUUUAAAACAAUUUGGGUGUUUGGGGGUUGAUGUUUGCAGCGAUUGAGAGUAGUUUAAUUCAUUAGGGAACUAUUGAUGAAUUGAUCUUAGUAUAGUAGUUGGGUUAGGGAUAUUCGAUGAAUACUCAACACCUGAUCAAGUUUAGAUUCAAGUAUCAAAAUAUUUAUACUCCAGUUUUGAGUUGGAUAUGAAUAGUUACAAAUCUAGUAUAUAGAUACUCAUUCUAUCCCUAAUAAUCAUUGGUAAGACAUCUAAGUGUAUGACGGCCAAUAACAAGAAGAUUCACAUCUAUAAUUCAUGUGUUUCUAAAUAGAAGUUUGUGUAAGAUAUAGCGGAGAAAUAAGCGUAAGAAGUUCUACUAAUCAUAGUUUUAAAAUUUAACCUGCCUGGCGGGUCAAUCCAAGCCAAGUUUAAAAAAAAUAAGAUAAGUUAAAAAUCUGGAUGACCCGACGGGUUGACCCGAUAACCCGGUCCAAAACCCGAUUACAAUUUGUUGAAUUUUUUUAAAACAAAAUAAUAUCAUUUCUAUUUAUAAAAAAAUUAGAGUUGAUUUGAGUGACCGAUCAAAACUUGAAUCGGGUUUCAAAACUCUGCUACUAAGCACACAAUGAAGGAAAAAUUAUUAGAACUUUUAAAUGUAAAUGACGACGGAUGCAAGCCCUGGGUCGACUGAUGGGGCAAACAAUAACCGACAGCUACCUAUUUGUAUGGGCCUUGGCUGUCCGCUAUGACAACCCUGGCCAUUUGGGUAUUGGUCGAAGUGGAUAGCUCGGUGGUCUGCUAGGACAACCUUGUCCACUAAAUUAUGGGUUUUGUCUUAACGACAAACCCACGUGUUAUUCGGGCCUCAACCCAACAAUUAACUACUCUGGGAUCGAUUUCCAAUUCUACGCGGAUUCCACCGACACACCACAACGCCAUUUUUUAGAAUAAUAACUUUGACUUUGAUGCAGUACAAAACAUGUUUCUCACAUAUAGUUUUAUAGUGGUACGUAUCUGAAACAUAAUUUUCCAUGAACAUACGAUAUUCCUCUCAACUUCACGACAAAAUUUGUCCGAAAGCCAAGCUCCUCGUAGAGGUUUAUUGGGUUAUUAUUGCACUUCGAAUCAAACAUAAGAGUUUUCUUUCUAUGUGCAGUCAGUAUAGUUGCCGGAAAUGUGUGGGAAGAUGAGGUAUCUAAAUUGAAAGCCAAAGUGGUUUCGUCCUCCGGCAGUAAAAGUACUGGCUUAGAUCAAGGCAUGAGAACUGUUGCCGCCAGGUCAUUGGGAUAACCACAGGAAAUGUACCUUCUACAGAGAACUUCAAAGUUUUGAUUAGAAUGGACAUCUGCAGGGUUCGAUUCCCCAAGUCUUCUCCGCAUAUUCUUCAAUUGUUCUAUCACUGCUAAAUCUUCCAGACCCAGCAGUGCUAAGGAUGCUCAUCCGAGUCCACUUCUCUUGAUCAACAAAUGCUUUAUCAGCAGCAGCCUGCAGUUGAAUAGUGUAAGCAUGGGAUUCUUGGAACCGUUUCAAGUAGUAGAGCACCAAAAUGCUUGACUUUUGGGAAUUUCAAUAGAACAAAAGAUUACCUGUGCCUCUAGAUAGCUCUGGAAGUCGUAACCAAGAAGGUAAAAGUCAUUGCCACCCUCCACCUUGUCACAUAAGGAUUCAAAAUAGUCUUGGAAGCCAAAAUAGCCAUCUCGAACCAUCCUACAUGCAAUAGUAUGAUAAAAAUCAAAUUACCAAAAAAUCUGUCACUAUCCAAAGAAGUGUCUUGCUCAGCAUACAAAACACAACCUGCGUCAGAAACACCGAAAAAUUGAUGUCCAAAGCAUUUACCUGGUUUGCUGGAAAUGAUUUUGAAAGGCAAGUGAUUUGGGGGGCGGGGUUUCCAAGUUUAAUUACAUUACAUACCUUACAACACGAGCAAAUUGAAGAGGCACUUUAAGGGCAGGUCCUUUCUCGCGCAAAGCUGGUACUUCAUGCAUUUUUGCACCAAAUAAAAACUGAGCCAAAAAUGACAGCAUCAGAAAUGUAUUCCCCCAUUGAGUGCUAGCACAUGCAUGCCAAACGAUUGGUGUCUAGUUACAAAAUACAACACAGGUAACCAGUUGACAGAAACCUAUGAUUUUACAAGUGGUGAUGCAGACAUGCAGAAACCGAGAAGAAAAGCAUUGAUUGGUUUUGGAGUGCCUUCAAAAAGCUCCCAAACAUGCAAAACUCGACUGGCAUCAUAGCCAUUUGAGCCUAGAAUGGUCAAAUUCCUAUUACAUUUGAAUAUAUUACCAUUCUACUGCCACAAACUUUCCAGCAGCUGCAGUAAAACAAUUGGAACUGGCACUUCUAAUCCACUCUUCUUCCUUACAUGUUCAAUUGAAUUAUAAAAUGAUUUAUACUGGCCAGUCGACUAUAUACUUAGAACAAGUUGUCAUGUCAACCUUUAUGAAGCUAGGCAGACUUUCCAAAAGCAAAUAACUUGCUGAUGACACUUGAAUCCCAGUCAACAAAGCAAGAACCCAACCACAUCAAAUUGGUUAAGUAGAUAUCAGAAACUUAGUCUCAUGAACUGUUUGCUGAUUCAUGUUUCUUAAUGUCAUAGCAAACAGUAAAGGCCAAUGCACAAAUUCUAUUUAAAUGGUUUCCUUGUAAACCUCAUUUCAGAUUAGCACAUACCAUGUUAUCUUUCCCUAUUUCUUCAAUAAUUUCAACUGUAGAACCAUCUUCUGUGGCUAGAAGUAAACAUCCAUUCAUCAAAAAUUUCAUGCUGCCAGUACCUGAUGCCUCAUGCCCUGCAGUGCUGCAUAAAAUCAUGCAUAUUACAUGAGAAAUCCUACAUAUUUCAGAUAAAGUUAAAUCUAAUGGACAACCAAUUAGAAAAGGAAAGAUCACAAGGAAAAGAAAAGGACUUUGAACCAAAGGCCCAACUCAAUCUUCUACAUUCUAUCAUGCAAUACAACCACUUCUACAUUAUAAAAAAAAAUUAAACAAAAGCAGACAAGUAAUCUAGAGAAUGGAUCAGAAAAGUGAAAAAAACAUAGUUGACUAUUAUCAUCUAGAAAGUCAGUUUGUGCACUUACACAAUUAGAGGAAAGUAUUCCAUAUGUUAAGUGAAAUAUAAUUUAAAAAUAUGAUUGGUUACAAAAAACAAUUGCAAUCUUACAAGCCCUUUUGUUUUGACUUUAUUUAUCCCUUUUUAGGAUACUUGGGAUGAACAAUUUAUCAGAAUCAGAAAGGUAGCAAUCCAAACUGACCUUUUAAGCUAGAAUUUAUGGGGUUAAAAACUUCAAAUGGUUCUUGCAACAUUUACAAAUUCUCCAAUGAUUUGGCGCAGGGAAUAUUCAUUUAUCAUCAACUCAAUAAUGAAUUAAAUAAGUUAAAUAGAAGAUAAUUAUGGUUGAGUCUAAGGUUGCAAUCCAAUUGGUGCACCAUAUUAUUUACAGACCUUAUGUGCUGCGAAAGGUCAGCCCCUGGUAUUACUAACUCAGCAACAGAGACAUUGUAAUCAGGUAUAAAAACCUGUAGGAGAUUAUAAACAAGAAACUGAAUCAAAACAAUAGAUAAACAAAACCAUGAAAUAACAGAAGCACAGAUAAUUCAUCAGUUAGUUCCAAAUGAUACUGCGAUCAAACAAGCAGAAGACCAAGAAAAAUAAUCUCCGACAGAUAAGAUGUUUUAUAUUUUUGAUUCAAUACCAAAAACAAUAUGCCUUCUCAAUACAGCAUGUAGGGAAGGGAGGAGGAGAAAAAUUGCAGCGUAAGGGUAUAUAAGUCAGGAUUGAGGCAUGGUGAUCCACACAUACUAUUGAAAAGUAUAGUAAAAAAAACAAUAGAAAGUUACUAGCAUACUAAAUCAAGCAUUUAUAAAUAAGAAAAUAAACUAAUGAGAAAAUAAACAAAUUUCUCUGGCAACAAUUGAGAGCAUAAGAAAGUUAGAAAUAGAAGAGUUUAACAAAAUUUCCACACAAGGAAACUAGUAAUUUAAACUGAGUUAACUGAUGUCUCAUCAGAAGUGGUAUAAGAAAACAGCUGAAUACUAUUAGGAGAAAAUUAUGUCCUAAUGUUAGAAGCAUUAAACUAAUUGGGGGGGAAAAUGCAGGAACUUGAGACUUCUUAAAGAAUAUUCCCUCAAAUUUUUCCCAUUUCCUCUCCUUCCACUUACUCCCCAUCUAAUAAUGAAAAUGCUCUCCAGGCAACUAGAAUCCAACCACUUCUAAGGCCCUCCUUCAACUAGCAAGUAAAUCCAUCAAUAAACAAUUCCAAGGUUGAUAUCUUUUAGCAACUGAAUAAUGCAAACAAAAACAAUCACUCCUUUGGACCAAAAACAAUUCGUUCUCUUUCCAGUUUAAAUGAUGCUAUAAACACAAAAAUCAAACCACCGCUGAAGUGCAUAUCAAGAAUAUUUCCAUAGUUACCACCACUUGCUGCUCGAACAGAAAAAAAAUUGCUUGAUUGGAACCUGACACUUAGGACUACUAUCUUACCUACCUCACCUUAUAGAAUCACUAAACUAAUGAUAGACCUGAUAGACAGUAAUAUCAAUAUUCGUGCAUUUCCAUGCAUCUUGAAGAAUUUUCAUUGAGAAUGAUUAGCAAGACAGAAAUAAUGUCGACCACUAUCAAUAUCAUGGUACAAUGACUUGUUAUGAGGCUUGGAUGCAAUGCCCUGAUGAAAACUUCUUGUGAGGGAACUGGCAUUUUAGCACUCAAAAGGAAUUUGGUUCAUGAUUAUUUUUGGCCUAGCACAAACCUUUCAGCUGAUAAAAAACUGGUUAAAAACCUCACUUUCACCAAAUAAUACAGAAGAUGCUCAUCUGUUCACCUACUUAACACAGACACGCUUUUCACUUACCAACUUCAAAAGAUCACCAACAUCAGGAUCGUUGUUAAUUUUUUCUGCUACAGCAUUGCAGAGUUUGAUGAUCUUCCUGGCAAUUUCAUAACCAGGAGCAGCUUUCCCUCCAAUUAUGCAGACACGGGGGACAACCUUUGUCCUGUCACUCUUCUCCAUAUUCUGCAACAAAAUUAGAAUAACAUAAGCAACCUAUAUCCAAAUAUCAUAAAAUCAUGGUAAAACCAAUCCUCAACAUCUGGAGGAGUACUAUUCAUGUAAAAUAAGCAUGAGCUCUCUGUCAUGAAUCAUGUAAACCAGGAAAACUGGUUCUAACAUGACUUGUUUUAACCAGGCCAUAACUAACAGAAAACAAAGUCCAAAUUGUUGACACACUAAAAUAUUGUCCAGUUGCUCUUAUGCCAUGUAUGGACCAAACCCAGAAAGAGUUAACUGCUGAAGCUCAUGCGUUUUAGUUAUAGCUUAUAGCAGCAAGGCGAUGGGAGAGGCAGACAUCGGGGCCUCAUUUUUAGAGACCGCAAGUGUUCUAAUAGAUUUAACUGAAGAUAAUGGCUUCUUUUGCCCAAGUAGAUUCCAUUCACCUUUAUACAGUCAUAUCGAUGGACGAUGCCAAGUAUAUUGAGUAACUGUCUUUUAUACUCGUGUAUUCGCUUUAUCUGCACAUCAAACAUUGCACUUACACUGACCUGCAAUGAAAAUGUAUGCUGUUAAUGUAAGAUCCCAUGCAAGCUUCUAUAAGAAAUUAAUCUUUACAUGUAAUAAAAGGCACAGUUAGGAGGUAAAUUUUUGAAGAGACUAAAAUGCCUUUUUUUAUUUUUUAUUGUGAAUCUGUGGUUUUUUUUUUCAAUAAAUAAAUCAAGAAUCCUAAAAUAGCUAAAACUGUUUUUUUAUCAUGCGUGUUUUGUUUUUGUUUUUCUAUUUUCUAUUUGCCUAUGAUAACAAUCCUAAUCCUAUAAGAUUUAUUUUUUUUCAGGGUAUAAAAAGAUUCCUUUCCCAAAACUCAGAGUUAUAAUUAGAUAAGAAUUCUAUUCAAUAUACAAAAACAAUAUAAUUAUAUUUUUAUAAAAACAAUACUUUGAAUAUAAUUUAAAAAAUCAGUAUUUGUCUUUGUUAUCAAGGUACUUAAUAUUUUUCUUUGUAUAUUUCUCUUUAUUGUUUUCUCAAUCUUGUUUAUUAUAAUUUCAUCUUGGUAUAUUUGCCUUCUUUUAAUGGUUGCUUGUUAUAAUUUGAUUAUACUAUAUUUAAUUUUAAUUCUUACAUAUUAAAGAUCAUAUAAUGGUUGCUUACUUUCAUAAAUUGAAUUAUGUCUUUGAGAUAUUAUUAUACAUGAUCAUUGAAAAUAAGAUGCAUGUGGUAGAAAUAUUUGUUAAGGAGGGGAAAUUUUUUCAUUGGCAAGAAAAAAACAAUUAUGGGAGAUGAUGUAUUUUUAUUUAGACCUAUAUGAAAAGAUAAAAAAAAGAAGUAAUGAUUAAAGGAGAAAGCUCAAGAAAUUAAUCCGGCAGUUGCCCCUCCUUUUCGUAACCUAGCUUCGCAGCUGUACACUAGAGAACUUAAACAUUACUCUUACAAGGCUAUACAAUUCAUACCUUCACGAUAGUCCCAUUAUCAACAUUGGCAAAGGUAAAACUUUUGUGAUUGGGGGGCAAUGAAUAUAGGUGAAUAUAUAUUAUGCAUAUAAAUCAAAAUUAACAUAAUUUUUAGGAAUUUCUAAUUAAACAAAUAAAUCACUAUAUAUACUAAUUGAAAACUUCUUCUUAAUAUUUAUUGUGAGGAUGCUUUGUUCAUAUUUGUUUCAUAAAAGAAAUGGUACUAAUUAGCUUUACAAUUAAAAGCAUAGCUAAGAAAUCAAUUUAUUUUAAUAAAACAGAUUAAAUCAUGUAUUGGAGAAAGGAGCAGACUUAAGAGAUGAUAAUAGCACUCUAAAUUUCUAAUUUUAUAAAUAUAAUCAAUAAAGAGGGAGAGAGAAGAAUUUAAGGGUAAGUUUGAAAAGAAAAUUAAAAAAAAAGGAGUAACAUGAAAAAUAAAUAAAGAAUCCGAUCCACAUAACAAAACUCAAAGUAUAUAUCUUGAUUUCCUUUUUUCGUUAGAAAGUUACCUAGAUUGCUUUGAAUGUGUUUGCAAGAUUGAAACAAACUAUAAACAAAAUACAAGAAUUAAAAGAAAGUAUUCAAGUAUAAUAAAAAAAAUAUUAAAAUCUGAUUUUUUUUAUUUAACUUAAAUCAAUUCAAAUAAUUUGUAUUUGUAUUCUAAGAAAUUAUAAUUAUAGAAUCCAAAAUCUCUAACAUUGACUUCGACCCUAACUUUUAGGAAAUCUUUUGGCUUUAAUUCAACAUGCAGGCUUUUGUAUAAAUUGAUACCACAUUUUUCACAUCCUGUAUUAACUCUUCAUUUGUUUUUUAGAUAAUAAUAAUAGAAGCUAAAUUAAUUACUUGCAUUAAUCUUUUCUUAAUUAGUUACUAGCAUAAUAUUUGUAUUAAAACAAAUACUAUUAUGUUAAAUUGUUCCAUCUUUUUAUUAGUUGGCAAUUCUUAACAAGCAAAAUUAUUGAAAUGAAGCAAGUUUGUGUUUAUGUUUGUAUGCAAAAAUGGAAAAGAAAACAGAGAUAAAAAUGUUCACUCUUUCCUUAAAAGAUAAAAGAAAAGAAAAGGAGUAAGAGUAAUUAUAAUGAUAAUUAACAGAAUAAAUUACCUUUUCAUUUGAAAUUAACAUUAACCUUUUAUUUAUUCCUAAAAUAUAUACUAUAUUUAUAUAUAGACAAAUGAAUUUUAAUAUACAGUUAUAUGUUAAGUUUUUUUUUUCUUAUAUCUAAGUGAUUUAUUUACAUCCCUCCAAAACAAAGGUAGUUAUAAAUAUUUACUUAUAUUAUUGUGUAAGCAAAAUUAUAUCACUUAUAUCCCUAAGAUUUAAUUAAAUAUAUAUAUAUAUAUAUAAAUUGUUAUUUUUUUAUGCAAAAUUAUAUCACUUCUGACUUGACAAGAUGAUUAAUGUCACGCAUAUAUUACUUUUGCCUAUAUGGUAUCAUUGAUUCUUCUUCAGCUUUUGUUAUUGCAAAUUAGCAAUGUUGUAAUAGAAAAAUGUGCAAUAUAAAGUGAUGUAGGAUGACACAUCUAAAAAGAAAUUGUUACUUGAACAUGAAUGCAUAACAAACCUAAAAUUCCAAUCUUAAGAAAUCACUUUUUAACUUAACAUAAGAAAAGGAUUUUGAAAAUAUGAGAUUAAACCAAAUGCAUGCAAAAUGUUUUAAAAUUUUAGACUUUAGAAAUCUCAUGAAUUGAUAGGGUUCAUCUAGAUUCCAUUAAUAUUUUUUUGAAAAUUGAUUUUGCAUUUUGUUUAUUGGUUCAUGUGAGUUACAAUAUUCAAGUUAUUUAAUUUAUGUUUCGAGAUUUCAUUCCAUCAAUAUAUUUUAUCAAAGACACAAUGAAAUAUUGAAUCAUACUCCUCCUUAUAACAAACAACGACAUAGAGUUACUUGAUUUAUGAUAUAGCAUAGGUUAUUAAUUGUUUAAAUUAAUAGCAAAGUUAAAUUUAUAAAAGAUCAUUUAAUAAAUAAUUUGAAUAAAUAAUUUGAAUAUAGUAUUUUGUUUAUUUAAAAUUUCAUAUUAUUAUCACUUACUCAUAAAACAAAAUAACUUCAUUAAAGAAUUGAUAAGAAAUCUGAUGACAUUUUUUUUAUAUAACAACACUAAGGAUGUUAUUGAAUUAAAGAUAAUUUAAUUAAUUUUUUAGUUUAUUGCAUUAUUUUCAUACAUAACAUCGAUUUUAGUUAUUUGAUACCAAGAUAUCCUUUUAGAAAGACAUUUUAAAAUAACAAACAAAAAUUAAAAUCAUCUAAUCACGUGUAGGCCACGGCAACGCCCAUGCAAAAAAAGUAGUCUUCUAAAAAGAGACAAGGAAACACAAAACCUAAAAAAUUCCUGUAAAGGUUUCGUUUCAAACCUUGACCCCACUCAUUGCUUCAAUGUACUCUGCAAGUCUCAUUUUGUUAACCUUCCUAACCUACAAGAAUAAGAAUAUCACAAAUAAAUCCAUAUGUAAAAGAUUAUUUCAUAGUAACUGCAUGCAUAAAGUUACCAUCCUCCAUUCUUCAUGUAGAUCUGCAUUGGCUGCUUGUUCUUGCAAACCAGCUAAUAAGUCCACAUCACGGAUCCAAGCUUCUGUUCCAAGCCACUUUGAGAUAAGAGCACUUAAACUUGGAUUGCUCACAACAAUCCAGCGACGCUGAGAUAUAAACAUUAAUACCUUGAAAUCCUUUCCAGUAUAAAGGUAAGUAUGAUGGCAGCACCCAAGCAAAGAAAAAGGUUUGAGUAAAUAAGUGAAUCAAAGGUGAUAAUUAAGUUAACCUGUGUUACUCCAUUUGUCUUGUAAUCAAAUUUAUGAGGCCACAGCUCAUAGAAGUCCUGCAAAGAAGUUUCUGAGAGUCAGAGGCCUCAAUGAAUAUCUAACAUGUUUAGAUUUCAAACAAGUGAAGUUUACCUUGAAUACUCUUGUUUUUAGCAAUUCUGAAUGCACUCUAGAAACUCCAUUCACAGUAUGAGAGCAAACAAUUGCUAGGUUUGCCAUUCGAAUACUCUGUCAAACAAUACGGUUGAUUCUCAGCUGUCACAACAACUUUACAAUUCACCACCAGGCUAUGCAUAUAGAAGAGAAGUGAAAACUACCAAAAAAAGAACAAAAAGAUUUCACUACCAAACCACCCAAAAUGGUAAAAGAGUCCCCAAGGCAUCAAUCUUACCUUCAGUAUCUCAUUUUGCACAAAAAUACAUGUGCGCAGAGAUAAAAAAAGAAUAUGAGAUGAUGAGAGAGAGAAAGAAAGG
This 19392-nucleotide long non-coding RNA is filed under the name Populus trichocarpa (black cottonwood). Its description in RNAcentral is "long non-coding RNA (PTRI_LNC001147)". Lineage: Eukaryota; Viridiplantae; Streptophyta; Magnoliopsida; Malpighiales; Salicaceae. The record is from RNAcentral.